GUACCUAAAAUAUUUGUUUCUUUUGUUUUGUUUUUUUUUUGUUUUGCUGGGGUUUUUUUCCCAAACAAAAUGGAGUGGACGCAAAGCUAAGAAAAGUAAUUCCCAUGAGGAGGAAUCAGACACAUAGUUGGGAAGCAGGAAUGCCUUGGCUCCUAGGAGGUACCUUCCAAAAGGCCAGAUACAAGUCCAAGUUCAGGAGCUAAACUCGGCGGAGCAGCAUGUGUCGGGGGCACACACGGGGGCAGGAGCAGCUCGGGCUGCGCCCCGGGGAGCAGCGCCUCGCUGCAGCGCUGGCACAGCCCGGGGCGGACACGCAGGGCGCAGCAGUGCCACGGCCCCGGGGAGCCGCGUUUAGCUCUCGGAAGAGCCAGUCUUGCAAACACUUACACACGUGAGCAACUUCAGCUGCCACAAAUCGACUUCUUCACCUGGUUUCAGUUUUUAAGGGGUGCUGCAUUUUAUCCUAGCCAACGUUUGAUAAAAUGGAAGAAACUCCCCUUUUCCUCACCUAGGUAACUUCUAGGUAACUAGUUACUUUCUAGGUAACUGCAUUUUUGCUGUAUUUU
Long non-coding RNA from Oenanthe melanoleuca, 566 nucleotides. RefSeq lists it as uncharacterized. The record is from RefSeq and is a predicted model, not a curated record. NCBI's taxonomy places the organism in Eukaryota, Metazoa, Chordata, Aves, Passeriformes, Muscicapidae. The transcript has 3 exons.